This 639-nucleotide ribosomal RNA is filed under the name Limosilactobacillus ingluviei. RNAcentral's name for it is "bacterial SSU rRNA". It matches the Rfam family "Bacterial small subunit ribosomal RNA", at positions 57 to 653 of the family's 1533-position model. Lineage: Bacteria; Bacillati; Bacillota; Bacilli; Lactobacillales; Lactobacillaceae. The record is from RNAcentral.
GCAGUCGAACGCGUUGGCCCAACUGAUUGAUUGUGCUUGCACAGGAUUGACGUUGGUUUCCCAACGAGUGGCGGACGGGUGAGUAACACGUAGGCAACCUGCCCCGAAGCGGGGGACAACAUUUGGAAACAAGUGCUAAUACCGCAUAACAACUUUGACCGCCUGGUCAAAGCUUAAAAGAUGGUUUCGGCUAUCACUUCGGGAUGGGCCUGCGGCGCAUUAGCUUGUUGGUGGGGUAACGGCCUACCAAGGCGAUGAUGCGUAGCCGAGUUGAGAGACUGAUCGGCCACAAUGGGACUGAGACACGGCCCAUACUCCUACGGGAGGCAGCAGUAGGGAAUCUUCCACAAUGGGCGCAAGCCUGAUGGAGCAACACCGCGUGAGUGAAGAAGGGUUUCGGCUCGUAAAGCUCUGUUGUUGAAGAAGAAUGUGCAAGAGAGUAACUGUUCUUGUAUUGACGGUAUUCAACCAGAAAGUCACGGCUAACUACGUGCCAGCAGCCGCGGUAAUACGUAGGUGGCAAGCGUUAUCCGGAUUUAUUGGGCGUAAAGCGAGCGCAGGCGGUUUUCUAAGUCUGAUGUGAAAGCCUUCGGCUUAACCGAAGAAGUGCAUCGGAAACUGGAUGACUUGAGUGCAGAA